CCGUGCUCCCUGGAGGGGGCGUGUCCUUUCGCCGCCAGCUGGGUCCCGGAGGGUCUGCGUCCGCAAGCGUCUGGGAUCGCGUGGCUGUGAGAAGGGGAGGUUCGCGCCGUGCGGCGGGCUCCACCUACCUGCAGACAGAUGGAGGGUCACUUUGUUCGGAGGAAACUCAGGCACCCGAGGGAGGAGAGGGAGGAUGUGAAACGGAACAACCCGUUUCUGUGCGGUUGGCUUUGUUUAUUUGCCUCCUCACCAGAGGCCUCCUACCCCUGACGCCACCGACCCCGAGAGGAGGCGAUCAGCUGCUAUGGCCGCUGCGGCCAGACGGGGUCGCCCGCCCCGUUCCGCAAGGCAGGCCCUGCGGCGCACCACGGCCUGCGCUUGCCCGACCUGGUUGCAGGCAUUCCUGUUUCACGGGAAACAUUCUCACCACUGCAGAAGGGAAACCUAGCUUUGGGUUUUGACGGUAGAAGCACGUAUAUGUGUUUUAAAGGCCACAAACACGGCAGUGACUUGUUUAUUCAUUCAACAAAUUUGUCGAGUGCCUACUGCAUGCCGGGUGAGCUGGAGGCUUAGACUACAGCCCUGAUCAGCCAAGACACCUUGCCUGUCCUCAUGGAGCUUUCGGGGCACCAUGUACUCACCUCUAAAAUAUACACCGCCUGUGAAUUUGCCAUAUUUUCUGGAUUGUAAAAUGCCCUGGAUGGUGAGUCUGUUGAAUAGUUUUUCAGCGGUGGAGGAAGAAACACUACGUUAAAUUCAUAUAAUCGCCAUAUAUGUGUGUGUGUCGGAGGGAAGAGGCCCUGGUCAAAAUCAAAGAAAAUUAAUCACGACUGUAUCCCCAACAGCUGGCAGCAAAAGGAACACAGCUCGCAAAGAGAUACUCUCUUCAUGUGGCCUGAAAUAAUACUAACAUGAAGAUGGAGAUGGACCCUCAUGACAAAAAUGAAGGUGAACAUGAUGUGGAAAAUAUGAAGAUGGAGUCUAUAAGCUAAGGAUCCUGGAGCAGAAUGAUAGGAGGAGACUGGGUCAUUCAGGACAUCUUAAAGCUGCUGCAGCAGUCCUAGAGUGGCUACCCCUGGACUUAGGAAGUCUGAAAAAUAAACCCCAAUUUGGUUAAA
Molecule: long non-coding RNA, 1118 nt
Organism: Balaenoptera ricei (Rice's whale)
Lineage: Eukaryota; Metazoa; Chordata; Mammalia; Artiodactyla; Balaenopteridae
Exons: 2
Source: RefSeq, a predicted model, not a curated record